This is a long non-coding RNA of Gasterosteus aculeatus aculeatus (three-spined stickleback), 640 nucleotides long. The record is from Ensembl. NCBI's taxonomy places the organism in Eukaryota, Metazoa, Chordata, Actinopteri, Perciformes, Gasterosteidae.
CGUACGAGGAAGUGAGACUAUUGUGAGUGGAGCGGCUCUACGGCGGCGUAAAAGAAAUGUGAGAGUCCGCGAGGAGGAGGACACGCGGAUCACACUCACUGAAUUCAAUUAUCCAAAAGGUGUUCAAACCGCCCCAUUCGUGAGCUGCACAGUUGAGAAAUCUGGGAAAUUACCGUGAGGAAACGUUGAGUCAGCUCAUCUAUAAUUCGGAUAAAGUCACACAGCACAGCGACCAGCAGGUCCGUCGGGUUCUCACAAACACAACGGAUCCCGUGAACCACACCUGACUGAAGCAGCAAGCCGGGGGGGGGGGGGGGGGCAAAGUUCACCUGGCUGGUGUGCAGAAUUCACUCAGAUAGACGGAAAAGCUGCUCGCCGAGACGACAAGAAAAUACACGCUGAACAUUCCCGCGCACAUGAUGUCAGUGUGACGCGACGACGCGUUACAGCAGCAGCUCCAGACAACACGCCCCCCCCCCCCUCCCGUACCCCUCCUGACCCCCCUCCCGGGACAGCGGAUAAGGAAACAGCAGCCCGGAAGGGGAACAGACCUCGACACACCUGCCUGGGACGAUGGAGGAGAACAGAAUGACGACACGAACAACGUCACGCCUUCAUCAAUCAGUGCGUUACACUGUGG